GAUGAACGCUAGCGGGAGGCCUAACACAUGCAAGCCGAGCGGUAGAGUUUCUUCGGAAACUUGAGAGCGGCGCACGGGUGCGUAACACGUGUGCAACCUACCUUUAUCUGGGGGAUAGCCUUUCGAAAGGAAGAUUAAUACCCCAUAAUAUAAUGAUUGUCAUCAAUUAUUAUUGAAAACUCCGGUGGAUAGAGAUGGGCACGCGCAAGAUUAGAUAGUUGGUGAGGUAACGGCUCACCAAGUCAAUGAUCUUUAGGGGUCCGGAGAGGGAGAUCCCCCACACUGGAACUGAGACACGGACCAGAAUACUACGGGAGGCAGCAGUGAGGAAUAGUAGACAAUGGGUGAGAGCCUGAUCCAGCCAUCCCGCGUGAAGGAGGACGGUGCUAUGGAUUGUAAACUUCUUUUGUACAGGGAUAAACCUACCCUCGGGAGGGUAGCUGAAGGUACUGUACGAAUAAGCACCGGCUAACUCCGUG
Molecule: ribosomal RNA, 479 nt
Filed under: uncultured bacterium
Lineage: Bacteria
Description: partial 16S ribosomal RNA
Rfam family: Bacterial small subunit ribosomal RNA
Source: RNAcentral